This 806-nucleotide ribosomal RNA is filed under the name Burkholderia arboris. RNAcentral describes it as "bacterial SSU rRNA". It matches the Rfam family "Bacterial small subunit ribosomal RNA", at positions 77 to 873 of the family's 1533-position model. The record is from RNAcentral. Lineage: Bacteria; Pseudomonadati; Pseudomonadota; Betaproteobacteria; Burkholderiales; Burkholderiaceae.
GCUUGCACCUGGUGGCGAGUGGCGAAGGGUGAGUAAUACAUCGGAACAUGUCCUGUAGUGGGGGAUAGUGGCGGAAGCCGGAUUAAUACCGCAUACGAUCUACGGAUGAAAGCGGGGGACCUUCGGGCCUCGCGCUAUAUGGAAGGUAGGUGCCUGGUUAGCUAGUUGGUGGGGUAAAGGCCUACCAAGGCGACGAUCAGUAGCUGGUCUGAGAGGACGACCAGCCACACUGGGACUGAGACACGGCCCAGACUCCUACGGGAGGCAGCAGUGGGGAAUUUUGGACAAUGGGCGAAAGCCUGAUCCAGCAAUGCCGCGUGUGUGAAGAAGGCCUUCGGGUUGUAAAGCACUUUUGUCCGGAAAGAAAUCCUUGGCCCCCAUACGGUCGGGGGAUGACGGUACCGUAUUUAUUUAGCACCGGCUAACUACGUGCCAGCAGCCGCGGUAAUACGUAGGGUGCAAGCUUUUAAUCGGAAUUACUGGGCGUAAAGCGUGCGCAGGCGGUUUGCUAAGACCGAUGUGAAAUCCCCGGGCUCAACCUGGGAACUGCAUUGGUGACUGGCAGGCUAGAGUAUGGCAGAGGGGGGUAGAAUUCCACGUGUAGCAGUGAAAUGCGUAGAGAUGUGGAGGGAAUACCGAUGGCGAAGGCAGCCCCCUGGGRCCAAUACUGACGCUCAUGCACGAAAAGCGUGGGGAGCAAACAGGAUUAAGAUACCCUGGUAGUCCCUCGCCCCCUAAACGAUGUCAACUUAGUUGGUUGGGGGGAUUUCAUUUUCCUUAGGUAACCCGUGACCUAAACCGCGAUG